GGCGACGUAGCCAAGUGGUCUAAGGCGGGGGUCUGCAAAACCCCUAUUCGUCGGUUCAAAUCCGACCGUCGCCUCCA
RNAcentral lists this transfer RNA (77 nucleotides) under SAR202 cluster bacterium. RNAcentral describes it as "tRNA-Cys". It matches the Rfam family "tRNA". From Rfam's summary of the family: Transfer RNA (tRNA) molecules are approximately 80 nucleotides in length. The record is from RNAcentral. Lineage: Bacteria; Bacillati; Chloroflexota; Dehalococcoidia.